Molecule: ribosomal RNA, 620 nt
Filed under: uncultured Lactarius
Lineage: Eukaryota; Fungi; Basidiomycota; Agaricomycetes; Russulales; Russulaceae
Description: eukaryotic LSU rRNA
Rfam family: 5.8S ribosomal RNA (bases 136-296)
Source: RNAcentral
AACAAUCCAUCUCACCCUUUUGUGCAUCACCGCGUGNGCUCCCUUCUCGGAGGGGGCUCGUCUGCUUUUCACACAAACCCCCCUUUUAAAAGUGUAUGUAAUGACCUCAUGUAUGCGUUAACCCGCAAUCAAUACAACUUUCAUAGCAAUCGGAUCUCUUGGCUCUCGCAUCGAUGAAGAACGCAGCGAAAUGCGAUACGUAAUGUGAAUUGCACGAAUUCAGCUGAAUCAUCGAAUCUUUGAACGCAGCCUUGCGCCCCUUGNUAUUCCGAGGGAGCACACCCGUUUGAGUGUCGUGAAAACGCUCAACCUCCUUGGUUUCUUCUGGAGACCAAAGCAGGCUUGGACUUUGGAGGCCUUUGCUGGCACCUCUCUUUCUGAAGGCCAGCUCCUCUUAAACAAAUUAGCAGGGUCCUCUUUGCUGAUCCUCGACGUGUGAUAUGAUGUUUCCAUGUCUUGGUUUCUGGCUCUGUCACCUUUGGACCUGCUUCUAACUGUCCGGACCUUGCGUCGAGACAACGUUCGAGCAUGUGCCUCCCUUCUUGGAAGCUCCCUCGACCCCACGAACCCUUGACCUCAAAUCGGGUGAGACUACCCGCUGAACUUAAGCAUAUCAAUAA